Molecule: long non-coding RNA, 9683 nt
Organism: Neofelis nebulosa (Clouded leopard)
Lineage: Eukaryota; Metazoa; Chordata; Mammalia; Carnivora; Felidae
Exons: 2
Source: RefSeq, a predicted model, not a curated record
GAGAGAGAGAAAGAGUUCAUGUGUGUGUGAGCAGGGGAGGGGCAGAGAGAGAAUCCCAAGCAGGCUUGUCAUUUUUAGUGCAGAUCCCAACUUGGGGCUUGAACUCAUGAACCGUGACAUCAUGACCUAAGCUGAUACCAAGAGUUGGACACUUAAUUAAGCCCCUCAGAUGCCCGUCCUACUUAUUCCUAUUACCAGUUUCCAAGCUAGAACUUCAAAAAGUUAACAUUUUUGAGAAGGGAAAAAAAUUUCCCUAAAUUUUCUAAGUUGUUGAUAUUUAUUAAACAUCUUGACACUGUAUUUAUUUACCACUUAAUUUUAAAGAUUUAAUUGGUUUUAUUCACUGACUUAUGAAUCAGGCAGCAUCCCAUUUAGCAGACAGAAGGGAGCUCCACGGAGCUGUACAAAAUGAUAGGAGGGAGUGAAUAAGGACAUUGUAGCAGUAAUAAGUGUAUUGCUUGUAGUAAGGUCACUGUUCUUUAGGGGAUGGCAGGGGUCUGCCAGGCAUAUUACCUCACUAGUGCUGACCAGGUAAUUCCUGAGUAACUGGUUAAAGAUUCUGUUUCUGGGAGAGCCAGAACUAUGAUUCAGUUAGUUUGGUGAUGUGGGGCUUAGCAUCAAUGACUCCAUUUUCAGUCUGUUUUCUUGUUUGUACCUAUUAUUUAUUUAUUUAUUUUGAGAGAGAGAGAGGCAGAGAGAGAGGGGAAAAGAGAGAGAAUCCUAAGCAGGCUCCACGCUGGCAGCGUGGAACCCUGUGCAGGGCUCGAUCCCACAAACUGUGAGAUCAUGACCUGAGCUGAAAUCAAGAGUCAGAUGCUUAACCACCUGAGCCACCCUGGUACCCCAGAGAUUUUUUUUUUUUUUUUUAAGUACACUCUACCUUCAAUGUGGGGAUUGAACUCAUAUCCCAAGAUCAAGAAUUGCAUGCUCUACCAACUCAGCCAGCCAAGCACCCUGGUCCAGUGCUUUUAUGUAGCUGAAUUUCACCUUCCCCAGAAGUGUUAAUCUAGGUUCAGCAAGUGCUGUUGGCUAUAGCACAGGCUAAAGGGUCAUCAGUGAUUAUCUUAUUAUCAAGAACAACUUUGGCCAGAGUCCUGGGAUUUAUGUUGGGCAGCUAUUGUGUUAGCAGUAGAUUUUCCAAUAUCUUCAAGAGUUAAGGAGCUGACACUAUAUUUAUUAAAAAUUGGGAUAAGACUCAGAGAAGCUUUAACCUCUGUGCCUGAAAAGCUGUCUUUUAAAAUAACUUUUAUUUAUUUGUCCAUGGUUUAUAAGGUUUUCUGAUUUGCCUUCCCGGACCUCAUCGCCAUCUCUGGUGGAGGAGAGCAAUGAGCAACCUAAUGCAGCCCUGGAGCUUGCCUCAGGCCCCAGGUGGUGGUCAUUCUGAUUUUGAAAUUGGACCAGAAGAAUCCAGAGGAAUGCAACAACAUUUUUACUUCUUGCUCCCUGCUAGCUUUUUUCUGGGCCUCCCCAAAAUGUGUUUAUUUUGCCGGCCAUGCAUGUGGAGCAGUCUGGAAUUCUGUGUGGCACUAGAUAGUGAAAAAAAGUGGAAAGAUUUCCACAUGACAGAGGUUAUGGGAGUCGGAAAUCUUGGAUUAUGCAGGACUCUGUGAUUGAAAGGAAGAAAUUUGGGAAUGAGAUUUAUUUAUUUUUUUAAAUAUUUAUUUUUAAGAGAGAACAGGGAAGGGGCAGAGAGAAGGGGGACAGAGGAUCCGAAGUGUUGACAGCACAGAGCCUGACACAGGGCUUGAACUCAUGAACUAUGAGAUCAUGACCUGAGGCAAAGUUGGACCCUUAACCGACUGAGCCACCCAGGCACCCCUGCACACUUUUUUUAAAUUUGAAAAUAAGUCUAGGGGGUGGAGAUGUGGACUAGAAGCAGUUCCAAACUUUUAAGUAUCAAAUUAAGAAUUUUCACUCAUUAGAAGAAAAAAAGGCCUUUACUGUGAAAGAAUUAUCUGAACUUCAAUAGCCGGUUAAUGUAUACUUUGAGAGCAGUGUCUGUCAUAUUGUAAAAGACCCUGGGGGCCUGACCCCAGCAGACCCCCCUCACCACCUUUGUCACCCCAGGAUUGUCUCCAAGGAUGGCUUCACUGUCACCAGCCAGGUCUCAGCCUGGCCCUCUCAAAUGCCCAGCAAGUCUGUGUUCUCUGUUUUGCCAUGUUUAAUUAGCUCUGGAAAUAGGCUAUCAAAGGCUAUCUGGCAACGGUUCGUUAAUGGUACGAGGUGAAUUCAAAAGCACUAAUUAAUUGGUUUAGAUUAUUUGCAAAGCCCAUGCUGAAAAACCUAAUGCCUGUAGGAGAAAGUUGGCAGAAAGACUGUUCAGAGAUUAACCUGGACCUUACCCAGCUCAAUUGCCUUUUGGAAUUAGGCCAAGAGGGGAGUUGUUUUUCUUUUUGGAGAAGUGCUUGUGGUCACAUUGUUUCCUAAAUUCCCAGUUUACUGCUCCAGGGUCUAGUCUGAUGCAGCUCAGAUGGACCUUGCUGAGCUAGGGAACUCAAAGAGCAUCUUCUAGAGGUUUUGUUUGUUUUUUAUUUUGUGAGAGAAAUGCAAUUACUUAACAUUCAUUAACUAAAUACUUCCCAAGGGCCUCUUCUUAGAGAAAGGAAAGGGAGCUCUGGUUUGUUAUGAAAUAAUUCAGGUUUUAGUGUUAACCAUUCAAAGCACCAGGAUCAGGCCUUAAGUAUCUCCCCCACCCUCCUUAAAAUAAAACAAAUCAGAUUCCUCAUUUCUCCUGUUUGGCUGGCCCAGGACAGCAAACUGCUACUGCAUUUGGAAAAUGGUGUUCAGAAAUUUCAAUUUGCAAUCAAGUGCGUGCCAAUUUAAGUUCAAGGUAAAUUGUAUAUACGAAGGGGGAAAAUAGGCUUGCAUUUUAUAUUUUGUAUUUUGCUACAUUUGACAUGUCUUAUAAAAUAAUAAUACCUAGAAUUAGCUCAGCCAGAUGAAUUAGAAGGAUAAUGGAGGUCCCUGCCCCUUAAGAUGAGAGAGAUUUGAGGCUUUUUGGGCCAGGUGCCAGUGCUGGUGACUCUGAGAGCACUGCAGUCAGUUGAAGAUGAAAAUAGAGAAGAGUAUUUUGCAUUUAUCUCAGAGCCAAUAGAAUGUUAUAUGAGGAAGCUGUUUUCUAAGCAGUAUAUAGCACUGUUUGAAAACACCCAUCCAGAAAUCUGCCAGUCCCUGGGCCUGGCCCUGCCUCCUACUGACAGACCUCAGUGUUUUUUCCCCAUCCUUCUGGGCUUGAACAGCCUGUGAGUCAGUGGUUACGUACAAAUCUCAGGCCAAAUCGUACUUUAUUAUCAUGAUUCAGGAGAAAAGAAUUCUAAUGAAAAAUUUCAGAGGCCUGUGCUGGGCUGUUUCAUAUUGUCAGAUCUUCCUGAACUCAAGGAAGGCCCAACAAAAUCUGUUAUUUUCUGUUUAUUACUCAACUUGGAAUCUGCUGGAAAAAUCUUACAAGAAAACCUCAGGAGAGUGUGUGCUGGUUGAAGAAUUUGUUUCUGAGUGCACAGUGGCCUCUGUUUACUCUGUGUGAUGCUGGCUAUGCUGAGACCUUGGGCAACCUGCCUCCUCCUCAACCAGCAGAUCUGGAGUAGGGACUUCGAACUUUUAACCCUUUUUGCACAUAGUUCCCCUGGCAACUUGAUGGAGUUGGUUGGAAUGCAGAUCUCAGAGCUGUGAGAUAACAUGAAAGAUAUUUUUUAAAUUGGUAAUAGAGCCUUUGAACCAAUAAAUGACCAUGGUUUUUUUUUUUUUUUCUUUUUUUUUUGGUCUGAUUACACUUUGAUUUUAGAAAGUAAUUUUGUGCCUCAAUGUCAAGACUUACUAGUAUAUUCCACAUAAGUUGUAAGACAUUAUGGAUAAUGUUACAACUAAUAGUUAAAUUGAUGUCUUAAAGAGUGAUUUUAUUUAAAAAGAUACAAAAAAAGUUACUCUAAAAUAACCAUGAUUAUUUAUAUUUAAGUCCAUUUGAGUGGAAGAGAAAGGGGUUAGGAUUGCCACUGAUAGAGUGAAAAGUACACAGCAUCUGUAAUGUGUCAUGUAGUAGUUUUGCUGUCCAUGAACAUGGUAUACCUCUCCAUUUGUGUAGGUUUUCUUUAAUUUCUUUCAGCACUGCUUUUUGUUGUUUUCAGUAGUUUAUUUUGAAGACUGUAGUGUGUCCAAAUAUGAACAGUGUCCCUCAUGCAUGUCUGUUUCAUUAGAAGUAGGUAUGAGAACCUCUCUUUAGAGCUGUAAUUCUAUCUUCUUCAAAUUACUCUCCAUUAAUAAUGGUGAAAACUAAUUCUUCCUCUGGCCAUUUGGAGAGUGAGCUUAGUCAUUGAUAAUUAAAGCCACUGAUGAAGUGAGUUAUUGAUCUGGCUAGCUUUGCUGUAAGUUGUCAGAACUCAGAGUUCAGUGUGUACUUAAGAAAUAUGUUCUUUAGUUAAGGCUCAAACUGCUGUUGCUGACCAGGGAUAGCCAUAGCAUCUUUUCACUGAGGUGAAAUGAGCAUCCUUGUUCCUUUGGACUAAAGGUCAGUGUUAGAGGCAAUAUCAGAAUGCAAAGGUUGAAAGUUUUAUCCUUUUGCUGGGCUCUUGGGUUUUCCCAGCAUAUUUUUCUAGAGCAUUAUCACUCUGGUGAAGCUUUAUUUGAGACUUGUAACUAAAGAGUUUUGUAGAGAUUUUGUGCUCCAAAUGUGAGGAAUGCCUGAGGACUUUAACAAGGGAAACCUGUUGGACUGUUACACUCUUACUUAGUAAAAGUACUUUACCACCACAGUGUUCAUUCUUGACAGAGGUUGUACGGUAGUUGUUCCUUUGGGCUGUGGAUCCAGACACAGGUUCAGGCCCAGAUGUUGCUAUUUGCAGGCUAUAUGAUGGCCUCAGUGUCCUCACAUAAAAAUAGAGAUAUCAGCAGUAUCUACCACACUGUGUUCUUGUGAGGAUUAUAAAUAAGAUAAUGCAUAUCAAUCAUAGGGGCAUGUUUAUUUUACAUAAAACUUUAAAAAAUAGUGUUCUUUGAAAAUGUUAGCAUGGUGAACAUACUUACUCAGUCUUUUAAGUUGCAAGUCUUACUACUCAGACAUAUUUUUUUGAUGCAAGAAUCAGAUCUGAUUGUGAAAUACAAUUUUGCAGAUAAGACUCUGUCAAUGCCCAGUUUCUUUAUUUUCCUUAUGUUCUGCUCAGAGCAGUAGUGUCAGAGUACUGAUACGGUAUAAGGGGUGCAAUGAAGCUGGGAGGAGGUUGUGAAUAAGCUUUCUUUUCUUCUUGUUUUGGAGAUUUGACAAGUUUAUGACUUUCAGAGUUUCUAUUGCCUGAUCUGUAGGAUACUGCUAAUUAUACUUAGUCUGUUGAUUAUUCUGAGAAUGAAAUGCAUAUAAAGCAACCAGCAAUUUGUGGCACAUAGUAAGUCUUCAAAAAGUUAAUCAUUACUUAGAGAAUCUGUAUAUUUUGGAAAAGAAAGAGCUAGAACCGACUUAUGAUGGGCAGAGUGAGUUUAUUGUUCAACUGUGUGCUCCCAACAGAGAUAAGGCAGGUCAGGGUAUUUCUUUGGGAGAUGGCUGAUUUGCUGUUGGCUGAGCUAGAACUCAGGUGGCUUUGAAAUGAGCAUAACAGCUGAAGGGCUAAAUCUGGAGCCAGGAUGGAAAAGACCUUGCUCCUCUGGAGGAAGUGAGUUGGCCUUUAGCAUGAAUCCUCAAGAAAGGCAGUAGUGGCACUGAGGAGUAGGGCUGGGGGAGAGGUCGGAGAACCCAGAAGCAAUGGAAUGAGACCACCUAAUGGUAAUUUUCCUCAUCUGUGUAGUACCUCUGGGCUCAGUCCCACCAUCCUACUUAAAAUUGAAAUCCCUCUGAACCCCUGGUAUCUCCCUUCUUUCUUACUUUGCUCUGUUUUUUCCCUUAUAGCACUUAUCAUUUUAAAACAUGUUUAUGAUUUACUAUUUUUAUUAUUUAUCUUCCCCCACUAAAAUGUAAGCUCUACGAAAGUCAAGUCACUUUGCAAAAGCUAUGGUGCAGCUUUUCCAUAUAUAUGAAAAUUCUCAAGUAGAAGAGUUUGCACAUUGUCUUUGUCCCUGCUUGAACGUCCUCUUUCAGGGAGAGGGCAGGGACUGUUCACUGAUAAAUCCCUCGUCCCUUGCACGGAGUGGCUGCUUAGUAUUUAUUCAAUAAAUCAAUAAUUAAAACCCUGUCUCAUUCAUAAAGUACGAUAAAGAGAAACAACUUUGCUAAAGUAACAAGUCUGAAUCUUAAUGUAUUUUAUUUUGGAGGAAAGAAAAAGUGUUGGAGACUAUUCUGUGGACACCAGGUGAGGAGUCACCGUUUAGAUUCUUAGAUAAAACAAUGUCUGAGUGACCUGUGGUGGUUGAUUUAAAGGCAGGUACUGGAUCUGUCACAAGAUAAUGUCUUUGACAGCAAAAAGAUAUUGCUUCUUGGUAAACACUCUAUAAAGCUUAGCAUAAGACUCUUUAGUACUCUGCACCUUGGCUUAAGAAUUGGUGGUAUAUUACAUUCAGGAGCUGAAGGUUAACUCUUUAAACCAGUGGUCCUCAAAGUGUGACCACAGAUCUGACACCUUUUCAAGGGGUCCGUGAGGUCAGAAGUAUGAUAAUGAUAAUUCUAAGUGGUCUUUCACAAGGUUAACACCGCAGUGAUGGUGUAAAAGGAAUAUUGGAUAAAACAGCUGGUGCCUUUGUGGGGAUCGAGACAAUGCCACACAUUACUUUCAGUUAAGAAUGUUCUUGCCGAAGGAGUUAAAAAUCCUCAAAUACAUGUCUUUUUCAUGUUUUGUAUGAUGAAAUGGGCAGUAGGCAAGUAGCACUUCUUAUUCCAAAGUGCAGUGGUUGUGCUGAGGAAACACUUGUGCAGUUGUUUGUAUUGUGAGCUGAACGAGUCUGUUUUUCAUGGAAUGCCAUUUUACUUGAAAGAGGCACUGACAAACGAUGGUUAUCUAGCCUUCAGUGCUUGGCAGCCAUUUUUUGAAAAUGAACAAAGCGAUUCUGUUAUUUCAAAGAAAACAGUGUACAAUAUUAGUUGCCAAUGAAAAAUUUUAUUUUUCAAGCAAAAAUUAAAGUUUUGGAAAACUUACAUUCAUCACCAUGAUCAUACAGUUUCUCAAUAGUUAAUACUUUUUAAUGCGAUCAAUGGAAAUAUUCACAAAUAUGAUUUUUUUGAUAUCAUAUAAGAAAUAUGUCAAUAUUUUUCAUAUUUACAUAACUCAGUGAACCAUGAUUUUCCAGAUGGCCGAUACAUGAUGUUACAAAAUCAUGUGUGGGUAAUAAAAGAUCUCACAUCUUGAUAGCGCCCCAAAGAGCAAUUGAUUUUUAAAAACUUUAUAUAUUCAGAUAAUUUUGGACUUACAGAAGACUUAUAUAAGUAGUACAAAGAGUUCCCAUAUACCCUUUACUCAGCUUCACCUUAUGAUAGCAUUUAUAUGCCCUUAGAACAAUUAUUAAAACUACAAAAUUAAUCUUGGUACAAUAUUAUUAACUAAAGUAUGGAAUUUAUUUGGGUUUCACCAAUUUCCCCCUUAAUGUUUGUUUUCGAUUCCAGGACCUAACUCAAAAUUUCAAAUUGCAUUUGUCAUGUUUCCUUGGCCUCCUCCAGUCUGUGACAGUUCUUUUAGUGACAUUGCCACUUUUGAAAGAGCGGUCACUUGUUUUGGAACAUGCUCCUCAAUAUGAGCUUAUCUGAUAUCUCUCAUGAUUGCAUUAAGACGAUGCAUUAUUGGGAAGGGUACACAGAGAUAAUGUGCCCUUCUCAGGGCAUCAAAUCAGGGUUACAUUAAGAUGAUACGUCUGGUUACUGGUGAUGUUAGCCUUUAUCAGUUGGCUAACGUGGUCUCUGCCAUAUUUCUCUACUGUAAAGUUACUACUUUUUCCUUUGUAAUUGGUAUUUUCAGAGCAAUGGAUUUUAAUGUAACAAGGUAGGAAAAGUUUAUUAUACGAUUCAGAUUCCACAUCACAUCUAACCUUUAAGUAAUGGCUAUUUAAUGAGUUUAGGUAAAAUAUCAAAGAAGAAAUAGCUAACUACAAGUGUAUGAAAAGACUAUUAAGAUUUGCUUCCCCUCUCCAACUGUAUAUCUGUGUGAGGCCAGAUUUCUUCAUAUCCUUCAACCAGAAUAAUGUAUCACAAUAAAUUGAAUGCAGAAGUAGAUCUGAAAACCCAGCUGUCUUCUAUUAAGCUAGACAUUAAAGAGUUUGCAAAAAUGUAAACCAAUGCCGCUGUUCUCGCUAAGUUGUUUUAUUUCAAAAAGUUAUUUUUCAUAAAAGAUAAAAUUUGCAUUAACAUGCAGUAGGUUUAUUAUUGUUGGUUUUAAAUGAAUUAAAUAUUAAAAAAAUUUUUUUUAGUUUUUAUUUUUGAGAGAGACAGAGACAGAAUGCGAGUGGGUUAGGGGCAGAGAGAGAGGGAGACACAGAAUCUGAAGCAGGCUCCAGGCUCUGAGCUGUCAGCACAGAGCCCAACGCAGGGCUCGAACUCACGGAGUGUGAGAUCAUGACCUGAGCCGAAGUCGGACGCUCAACUGACUGAGCCACCCAGAUGCCUCAUGAAUUAAAUAUUUUAAAACAUUUUCUCAGUUUUAAUUUCUGUUGUGCUAAACGUUAGUAGCUAUAACUCAUACCAACAAAAUCUCUUUAGAGUCUUCAGUAAUUUUAAAGCACAAAGGGAUCUUAAGACCAAAAAAUUUCAGAAUUGCUGCUUGCUAAACAAAAGAAGAGAUAUCUUGGCAUGUGGAGGGGGAGAAUCAUGUCUUCUGGCCCAAAUGAAGUUUUGGUGAAGGAUUUUACCCAGAAGUCUUGCCCUGGGGAGGUUACUCACUUAGUACCUCUGUAUCUGUUUUCUCACCUGACAGAUGAGGGAUUGGCCUGAAGAUUUUUGGUUUCUUUCAGCUCCCAGAUUUUAUGAUUCCAAGUCACUGUUGCUGUCAAAGAUCUCGCUUAGCAGCACGGGCAUUAUCGAGCAAUAUAAGUAGUUUCUAGAGAGUGGUAUUUACAAAGUUAAUGAUGAAGAAGAUCAUAUCUGGAGGAUAUGACAUUGUAAUAUUUGUGAGGCUGGGAUUUGAGAGUCUUGUUCUGACUUUUUAAAAAUUAGUUCUUUCAGUGUCCCCUUCAAAAAAAUUGUAGUUUUAGGUCUUAAGUGGUUUUUACUAUACUGAGUAGGAGAAAGAUUUUUAAUUAUUGCUGAAUAUUUUUUUUGUCAGUUUAUGUGUAUCGCAAAUUAAAAAGUGCAUGAUUUCCUAGGAUUUUUGUGCUAUAAUGUUCUGUGUAUGUAUGUGUAAACUUCUUUUGUGUGGAGAUUUAUAAAUAUUUACAUAAAUCAUUUUUCUUUGUUAUGGGUUCUUCAUAUAUCACUGAUGUCUAUACUGAAGCAGGCUUGAGUUGUAAUAUUCAUUAUAUACUUAAAACCUUCAUGAAGUUAAUUAUUUUAGUACUUGGUUUUUUAAAAAAAACUUGAUUUUUUUUUAAUGUUUAGUUUUGAGAGAGACAGAAAGUGUGAGCGGGGGAAGGGGUAGAGAGAGGAAGACAGAGGAUCUGAAGCUGUUAGCACAGAGCCCAAUGUGGGGCUCAAACUCAUGAACUAUGAGAUCAUGAUCUGAGCCAAAGUUGGAUGCUUAACUGACUGCGCCACCUAGGCGCCCCUAAGAAAACUUGAUUAAGACGCUUGAGACAUCCUUGAUAUUUACAAAUGUGAACUUUAAAAAAAAAAAAAAAGCCACCUGGAA